AGAGUGACGGGCGAUAUGUACACAUCUCAGAGCCAACUUCAAUUAUCUUUUCUUAAAAUAAUUUACUGACAAAUCCACCUUCAGAAAGGAAUUACACCUUAAAUCCGUAUUAGUAACUCUAAUUGUAGCUCAUCCGAAACUUAGCUAUAGACUGCACCUUGACCUGAAGUAAAAAAUCUAUAUUUAUUGAAAACAUCCUAUUGGAGUAAUCUGACAACGGCGGUAUACAAGCUGAAAAACCAAGCUAAGUAAGAUUUAUCGGGGAUUAUCGAUUACACGACAAGCUCCUCUGUGAGGUUAAGAUGCCGCCAAAAUCUUUGGGUUUGAAGAACAACUUUUACUACCCUGACAAGUAAUUGGGCUGGAAUAACAGGGUAUCUAAUCCUGCUUUUUUAAGCCAGCUUUAUUAGAGUUUGACAAAAUUAUAAGGACUCCUAAACGAUUGUGCAAAUUCCACCUUGAGAAUAGUUCUAAUCACUCCUUAUUAAAUUCCUCGAUCAUCUAAACUUCAUCUAUUAUUCUAUUUGAGUCCGCCGUCUAACCGCGACGGG
This 551-nucleotide ribosomal RNA is filed under the name Podonevadne trigona. RNAcentral's name for it is "partial 12S ribosomal RNA". The record is from RNAcentral. Lineage: Eukaryota; Metazoa; Arthropoda; Branchiopoda; Diplostraca; Podonidae. RNAcentral also lists the same sequence under 2 other names.